AACGAACGCUGGCGGCAUGCCUAACACAUGCCAGUCGAACGAGACCUUCGGGUCUAGUGGCGCACGGGUGCGUAACGCGUGGGAACCUGCCCUUAGGUUCGGAAUAACUCCCCGAAAGGGGUGCUAAUACCGGAUAAUGUCUUCGGACCAAAGAUUUAUCGCCUUUGGAUGGGCCCGCGUUGGAUUAGCUAGUUGGUAGGGUAAAAGCCUACCAAGGCGACGAUCCAUAGCUGGUCUGAGAGGAUGAUCAGCCACACUGGGACUGAGACACGGCCCAGACUCCUAGGGGAGGGAGCAGGGGGGAAUAUUGGACAAUGGGCGAAAGCCUGAUCCAGCAAUGCCGGGUGGGUGAUGAAGGCCUUAGGGUUGUAAAGCUCUUUUACCCGGGAUGAAAAUGACAGAACCGGGGAAAAAAGCCCCGGCUAACCCCGG
This 432-nucleotide ribosomal RNA is filed under the name uncultured bacterium. Its description in RNAcentral is "partial 16S ribosomal RNA". It matches the Rfam family "Bacterial small subunit ribosomal RNA", at positions 29 to 506 of the family's 1533-position model. The record is from RNAcentral.